Molecule: non-coding RNA, 6484 nt
Organism: Sus scrofa (pig)
Lineage: Eukaryota; Metazoa; Chordata; Mammalia; Artiodactyla; Suidae
Source: RefSeq, a predicted model, not a curated record
UAUAGCUCAGAUUUGACCCCUAGCCUGGGAACCUCCAUGUACCACGGGUGUGGCUCUAAAAAGACAAAAACACACAAACAAAAACAUUUAGAAUAGUGCUGGGGGAGUUCCCUGGAGGCCUAGCAGUGAAGGAUUCAAUGUUGAAACUGCUGUGGCUUGGGUUUCAAUCCUAGCCCAGGAACUUUGCAGGCUGCAGGCAUAGCCCCCCCCACCCCCCCGCCCGCAAAAAAGAAUAGUACAGGCCCAUAAAUAGUACGGGCGCAUAAAUGCCAGAGCAUGAGGUUGGAAGGUGAGCAAGGAGUCUGUAACUUUAUCAAGUUCCCCAGGUGAUUUUGCUCCCUUUCCAGGUGUAAUUGGGACAAGAUUAUCCCAGAUGUACCUCCUGCCUGAAGUGCCUACAUCUCCCAUCAAACCUACUGACUCCCUGGCAAGUCGGAUGAGAAAACUGAUGCUCAGGCAGCAACCAGCAAGGGGUGGAGCCAGGAUUGGAACCCAGCAGUCCAGCUGCAAGUCCAUGCUCUUAAACGGCCCUGUGCCACCUAUCUGAGCAGAGUUUCCUAAUGACGGAUGAGGUGGAGCAUCUUUUCCUUGCUUAUUGGCCAUGUCUUUGGGAAAAUGUCCAUUCAGAGAGCUUGAGGAAUCUGGCUGAAGAAAUGGAAGCGUGUGUGACUAGAGAGAUGUCCCUUUUCAGAGGCCUGAGCACUCAGAGGAAACAAAGGAGAUACUGAAGCAGAAGUAACACCUGCCAGGGAGAGCUAAGUGAUUGGCCUAGGUAAGGGGCGUGGAGGGGGCUCUGUGGAGACCCCUUCGAAGGAGAAGAGAAGGUCCAAGCCAAUGUGGCCUCAGGAGACUGAUGGGACCGUUCCUGAACCCCGGUUCCUCUGACAGCAGAAACCAGUCACGGAUUCCAGCCCAGAUCCUGUGCGACGCGGAUGUGCGGGCUCAUGUGCCUGUUCUACAUGCUCCUGAAGCCUUGUCCACAACGCGCUGCCUCUGUGCUUCUGCGGAGGACCCGAGGCUCGCAGGAACUUCUGGAAAGACAGAGCGACUCUUCAAGGGGAACCAUCAACAGAGUGUGCACCUCAGAUUCUUGGAAUAUCUUCCCCCCAAAUCCUCGUCUUGCUCUCUCUACCAACACAAUUUUAUCAUGAUUCUUUCCCAAUCCGAGGCAAGCCUCCCUCCCCCACCCCCUCCCCAUCCUGCAGAGCCGGCCUUAAAACAAACUUCCAAAUUCUCAACAAAUAUUGACCUUUCCUCCCCACUCUGAGACACUGCCAAAGCUUGGAGAAGUGGUGGCGUCCCUUACCACAGUAAAGAGACUUUGUCUGAGCGGCAGAGUGUGUCAGGAAUGUGCAGGGAGCCAGCAAGGACAUAAUGCAUCAUAGGUGCACCGUCAGCAUGGUUCUCCUCCCUGUCAAGUGCAAACACCUCGCCUGCCUCCGUCCUUGCUUUGGGACCUGAAGGAGCGUGGCCGAAUCUAGAACCCAGGAAUGGAUGGAGAGGAAGUUCCAUCCUGGAGGGAGAGGGGGAGCGAGGAGGGCUGGCUCCCUGGCUUGGCCCCACCCCCACAGGAAGUGGGAGGAUGGAGGACUUUGUCCUGGGGUUGUGCUAUGCGCUGGGCUGGGCACACGCACCCAUCCUCUGAGCAAACCAUUAGGGUAGGUGCUAUGAGGAAACUGAAGCAGGGAGAGGGGAUGGGCUCUUCCAGGUCCGGGGCUGGUAAACGGCAAAGCCUGGGCUGGAACUUAGAUCUGCCUGUCCCCUGACACCACAAGGUGGUAGCUGCCAACGAUGGACUUAGGACAAGUGGAAAAUGCUCCUCAGGUAGCCAUUUCUUUUUUCUUUUUUUUUUUUUUUUUUAAAUGUCUUCCUUAGGGCCACACCUGCAGCAUAUGGAGGUUCCCAGGCUAGGUGUCUAGGUGUCCAAUCAGAGCUGUCGCCGCUGGCCGAUACCACAGCCACAGCCACUCGGGAUCCUUAACCCACUGAGCAAGGCCAGGGAUCGAACCUGUGUCCUCGUGGAUGCCAGUCGGGUUCGUUAACCGCUGAGCCAUGCAGUAGCCAUUUCUUAUUCUGGUCCGGCUUCCUUCCAGUGAAUUUUCAAAGGGGGUUGUAUGGAGAUAGUCAGCCAUUCCACCAGCUGACUCUUUUUAAAAAAAAUUUUUGGGCCAUGCCCAUGGCAUGAGGAUAUUCUCAGGCCAGGGACUGAACCCGAGCCACAGCAGUGACAGGGCUAAAUCCUUAACUACUAGGCCACCAGGGAACUCCCUACCAGCUGACUCUUGAGCAAGUCAGUCAGUCAGUCACGGGUCGGUAAACACCUGACUGGCCUCAGAGAGCACGGUCCGGGCGAGGCGGGACAGAGAAAGGUGCUGAGAAGGACGUGUGGCUCCCGUCUGGGGGACGUGCUCAUGACAAAGGUUAAGACUCUUAACCAGGGCCCAGGUUUGAACUCUGAGGAGGGAUGUGGUGAGAAAUGCCGAGAGAACCUGGGAGGCUUGUCGCAUCCUGAGGCCGGAGGAGGAGGGCUUAGCCCAAGGAGGGGUAGGCAAAGGCCACAUUUUCUCCAGAACUUUCCAGCCUGUCUCUCAGCAGAGACAGCACAGACUAGGAUCACGUAGACCCAGUGUGGCCUUGGGCCAGCAACGAGACCUCUCUGAGCCUCUGCAAAAUAAUGUCUCGCGUCUCACAAGGGUCCCAUGGGAUGAUGUUCAAACUCCGAGAUGUCCCACAUUGUCGUCUGGUCAGUGUUUGCCCUAAAUUCGCCAGGGAGCAAUUUCCAAGCCUGGCACCAGGCUUCAGAACCUACAUCCUCCUGUGGGACACUCAGCCCCAGUGUUAUUCUCUCACCUCCUCCUGAUCCCCGAAGAGGCACAGGCACAUCUGGAAGCUUCCUUCCGCUGUCUCCUGUCUGCCCUUUCCACUCCAUCCCUGCCUGCUGCAUUCUAAGGCCAUUUGGGGUUUCUUUUGAUAGUCUCCCCGUGUGAGAGAAAGAACGACCUCUCGUCAACACCUGCCACCACACACGCUUUGCUGGGGCCAUCGGAGGAGCCAGCAGAGAGAGAACACAAGGCAGAGCCCUGGCCAAAAGCUCCAUAUGCAGCUGUGUGAACUGUGCACCAUGAGGUGACCAGCGCCCUCUGGAGUUGUGCAGCGCAUAGCAGUCCCGCCUAAGGACAUCUGACUCUCAGAUAUUUUUCUUGGCCUUGCAUAAUGCUGGCUUGCUGAGUGUUUUUACGUUAGUUGCCAGCAUCAGGAAAUUUCAUAUAAAACUCCCAACUUUUGUUUUUUCUUGGAAGAUUAGUAGAUCUGGCAACACUGGGCCCACAUUUCCAGUCGGGUUUUUUGUUUUGUUUUGUCUUUAGGGCUACAUCUGCUGCAUAUGGAGGUUCCCAGGUAGGGGUUGAAUCAGAGCUGUAGCUGCCGGCCUAUGACAGAGCCACAGCAGCACAGCAUCUGAGCCACAUCUGUGCACCACAGCUCACGGCAACGCCGGAUCCUUAACCCACUGAGCGAGGCCAGGGAUCAAACAUGCUUCCUCAUGGAUGCUAAUCAGAUUCAUUCCCGCUGAGCCACGAUGGGAACUCCUGGGCCCACGUUUCCAUAUGAAAACACUCACCUGGUCUCAGACUGCCGACUUUCAUGUGGCGAUUUGGCCUGUCAGAGCCCCUUUGGGUCCACCUGGCCACCUUAGAACCCUCUUCGCCGGCCUUGAGCUUCCCCAUCUGUGCCCCAUAGCAGCCCUGGGCCUGAGGCGUCUGCUGGCCAAGAAGCCAGGGCUGCGUUAACCCUCUGAGAGGUGAGGCGACAAAGCCAGAAAGGGCCGUGACUUGCCCAAGGUCGCCAUGGAGGGGACAGAGCUGUUCUCUGCUGGUUCUAGGAGUGAGGAUGAAGAUUAGUUCCAUACAUCCUGACAGCUCAGCAGGGCAAGUGGCUGGGGUCCCAGAAGCCAGCAGCCCAGGGCUCUGCUUUCAGGGAGCUCCCAGGGUGUGUGUGUGUGUGUAUGUGUGAGAUGGUGAGGCAGACAUUUAACAGACAUGUGCUCACUCUGUGACACAAGGAGUUCCAAAUCUAUAGAAACAUAGUGAGAGGUCCCAGCCUACACUGGAAGGUUCUAGAAGGCUUCCUGGCAGAAGAAACAUCAGAGUAAAGGGCAGAAGUAUGCAAGUGCAAAGACUGCUCAGGGAACAAAGAGUCCAGCAAGACUGGAGCGCCGGGUUCAAGGUGAGGAGGUGAUGCUGAGAUGUUGGAGGGGCUAAGCUCUGACCGCCCUUGAACACCAGACAGGAGGGCUGGGCUUUGUCCUGAGCCCAGUGGUGAGGUCUGAUGUGGCUUCCUGGGAAGACGUCAGGUGCCUGUGGAGGGUUAGUGGAGACGUCAGGAUGGGCCUGGGGCUGGGGAGACGGCAGGGGUGGAGUCCAGGGACCGAGUGACCGGAGGGCCUGGGCCAGGUCAUAGCAGUGGGGUGUAGAGUAAUGAGCUGAUGGCCCCCGGGGAGGUGGGAGGGCUAGGACUUGGUGGGAAAGCAGGUGGGUGGGGAGUAGGGGGGACUGAGUUGUCCUGGGGUCAGGGAAGCGGGGAGAGGUGAGGCUUGGGUCUGUGUACCCCAUUGAGGGCAGGUUUUAGGGUGAUGGUCUCAGAUGUGGUGAGACUGGGCUGGUGAGAGUCUCUAGGGGGCGAUGGCCAGGGGGCUCUCAGUCUGGAAGGCCUGCAGGCAGAGACCGAACAGGAGGCACACAUGGGCAAACUCGCCUUGAGAGGGAGCAGCCCCCACCAUACGACCUGAUGGAGGAGGACAGAGCAAGAGAAGGAACCCAUCCUGCCACCACAGUCAGGGGCCAACACUGAGCGCGUGGGGGGCGGGGGGGCGCGGUAGUGUCACAAAGGAGCCGGGAUGUUUCUGGAAAACCUACCAACCUUAUACCUUCACACCAGAGCGCAGAAAAGGAAAUAUUCCCAGCAGCACUGGGCCAUCCGUCUGUCACAGUGAUGGGAGAGACCGCUCUCCAGAGGUGAUGGGGUGGGAGGAGGCCGACCCCUGCCUCCAGCCCCUCCUACCCCCGAGAUUGUCCUGGGCUCCCCAGGCCUGCCGGCUCCCCUGCCUAGCUCCGGAAGCCCAUGCCAGCUGCUUCUCCCUCCGCAAACCUCACCCCUACUCCUGAUCCAGGUCCUCAGCCCUUUUUCAGGGAGGCCAGGCUAGUCACCAUCCUGCAUGAUUUACGUUCCCUCUUACCUGCUUGAUUAGCCAGUGGACUCUCCCAGACAGAGGCUGUCCUCUCCUGGGUCCUGAUGGAGCCUAUCAAGUUCCUGUUGAAACCCUCUGGGCCAGAAGACUUUGAAAUCAAAUAUUUGUUUGCCCCACGGUGGCUCUGACCUUGAGAAGUUGAUUUAGCCUGUCUAAGCCUCAGCGUCUGCCCCCGAGCACAAGCAUUUUGGGUAGGAUUAAAGGAAAAUGCCCUGCCUGGUAGGCUGUGGUCCUUAACAACGGCUAACCCCCUUCCCCCCAACCCCAUCUGCAGCUUGGGACUCCAGACACCUCAGCCUCCAGGAGGUCAAGGCCACCCCUAGUAACCACUCUUCUCUGGCCCCAGGAAAUGCUUGCCAUUCGCCAAAUUCAUCCUAUGCUUUUUCCGCUUCUCAGCCUUUGCAUGUGCUGUUCCCUCAGCCCGGAGUGUCCUGCCUUUCCAGCAAACCGCUUCUCAUCUUUCAAGCCUGGCCCGCCUUAAAAACAUGAUGGUUGAAUUGAGCUAAACUGAAUGAGGGAGAAGAAAAAGUUGGGGUGGGGGUAGGGGGUUCUGGGGAAGCAGGGGCUGCAGUGUGGGCCUGGGCUGGGGUGGGAGCCGUGCGGGGACACUGAAGCUUUCACUUCCCAGUGUGGCCUCACGGGCGCGGGUGAGGGUGGUCUCUGGCUUUGGACUUGGCUGUCAUCUUUGGGAAAUUCCUCCUAGCAAGACCCUUGGAUGGUCUCUUGGGAGGACAGCAUGCGGCAGGCAUCCAGCUGUUGCUUUCUGGUGGUUUCCAGGCUGGGUCAGAGACCUUGUGCUGGGACUUUCUAAUCCCGAUUCUGGCCCUGACUAUCCCAUCUAGACCCGAGAUGACCCAGGAGACAGUGAUGGGGGGAGGCGGCAGAGCCCUGAGCCCACAGGGAAUCUGGAUCAGCCUCUUUAGGCCUUAAACACGGCACCUGAGGCUCAGAGACAUGUGGCUAUUGACUCAGGCUGCAGCAGCUCUCCCCAACCACGAGUCCCAGCUCAUCUUUCUUUGUGCUCACAUUAUUCCCCAAGGCCCCAUUGCAACCCCCCUCACUCCUUAUCAUGAGUCUUGAGUCCUCACUAAGAGUAGGCUUUCAUGACUGACAAGGGAUUAAUCUCCAAAAUAUGCAAACAUCUCAUGGAGCUUAAUAUAAAAAAACGAACAACCUAAGCAAAAGAAAUGAACAGAAGAAUUCAACAGCAAUGUCUCCAAAGAAGACAGAGAGGUGGCC